Molecule: ribosomal RNA, 468 nt
Filed under: Enterococcus faecalis
Lineage: Bacteria; Bacillati; Bacillota; Bacilli; Lactobacillales; Enterococcaceae
Description: bacterial SSU rRNA
Rfam family: Bacterial small subunit ribosomal RNA
Source: RNAcentral
GACGAACGCUGGCGGCGUGCCUAAUACAUGCAAGUCGAACGCUUCUUUCCUCCCGAGUGCUUGCACUCAUUUGGAAAGAGGAGUGGCGGACGGGUGAGUAACACGUGGGUAACCUACCCAUCAGAGGGGGAUAACACUUGGAAACAGGUGCUAAUACCGCAUAACAGUUUAUGCCGCAUGGCAUAAGAGUGAAAGGCGCUUUCGGGUGUCACUGAUGGAUGGACCCGCGGUGCAUUAGCUAGUUGGUGAGGUAACGGCUCACCAAGGCCACGAUGCAUAGCCGACCUGAGAGGGUGAUCGGCCACACUGGGACUGAGACACGGCCCAGACUCCUACGGGAGGCAGCAGUAGGGAAUCUUCGGCAAUGGACGAAAGUCUGACCGAGCAACGCCGCGUGAGUGAAGAAGGUUUUCGGAUCGUAAAACUCUGUUGUUAGAGAAGAACAAGGACGUUAGUAACUGAACGUCC